RNAcentral lists this ribosomal RNA (501 nucleotides) under uncultured bacterium. Its description in RNAcentral is "partial 16S ribosomal RNA". It matches the Rfam family "Bacterial small subunit ribosomal RNA", at positions 30 to 523 of the family's 1533-position model. The record is from RNAcentral.
AUUGAACGCUGGCGGCAUGCCUUACACAUGCAAGUCGAACGGCAGCACGGGUGCUUGCACCUGGUGGCGAGUGGCGAACGGGUGAGUAAUACAUCGGAACGUACCUUAUCGUGGGGGAUAACGCAGCGAAAGCUGUGCUAAUACCGCAUACGCCCUGAGGGGGAAAGCGGGGGAUCGCAAGACCUCGCGCGAUUAGAGCGGCCGAUGCCUGAUUAGCUUGUUGGUGAGGUAAAAGCUCACCAAGGCGAUGAUCAGUAGCUGGUCUGAGAGGACGAUCAGCCACACUGGGACUGAGACACGGCCCAGACUCCUACGGGAGGCAGCAGUGGGGAAUUUUGGACAAUGGGGGCAACCCUGAUCCAGCAAUGCCGCGUGAGUGAAGAAGGCCUUCGGGUUGUAAAGCUCUUUUGUCAGGGAAGAAACAGCAGCUCUAACACAGUCUGCGAAUGACGGUACCUGAAGAAUAAGCACCGGCUAACUACGUGCCAGCCGCCGCGGUAA